AGCGAACGCUGGCGGCAGGCUUAACACAUGCAAGUCGAGCGGGCCCUUCGGGGUCAGCGGCGGACGGGUGAGUAACGCGUGGGAACGUGCCCUCUGGUCUGGAAUAACCCUGGGAAACUAGGGCUAAUACCGGAUACGCCCUUUUGGGGAAAGGCUUGCUGCCGGAGGAUCGGCCCGCGUCUGAUUAGCUAGUUGGUGGGGUAACGGCCUACCAAGGCGACGAUCAGUAGCUGGUCUGAGAGGAUGAUCAGCCACACUGGGACUGAGACACGGCCCAGACUCCUACGGGAGGCAGCAGUGGGGAAUAUUGGACAAUGGGCGCAAGCCUGAUCCAGCCAUGCCGCGUGAGUGAUGAAGGCCUUAGGGUUGUAAAGCUCUUUUAUCCGGGACGAUAAUGACGGUACCGGAGGAAUAAGCCCCGGCUAACUUCGUGCCAGCAGCCGCCGUAA
Molecule: ribosomal RNA, 449 nt
Filed under: uncultured bacterium
Lineage: Bacteria
Description: partial 16S ribosomal RNA
Rfam family: Bacterial small subunit ribosomal RNA
Source: RNAcentral